This 474-nucleotide ribosomal RNA is filed under the name uncultured Fusobacterium sp. RNAcentral describes it as "bacterial SSU rRNA". It matches the Rfam family "Bacterial small subunit ribosomal RNA", at positions 8 to 507 of the family's 1533-position model. Lineage: Bacteria; Fusobacteriati; Fusobacteriota; Fusobacteriia; Fusobacteriales; Fusobacteriaceae. The record is from RNAcentral.
AGAGUUUGAUCCUGGCUCAGGAUGAACGCUGACAGAAUGCUUAACACAUGCAAGUCAACUUGAACUUCGGUUUGGGUGGCGGACGGGUGAGUAACGCGUAAAGAACUUGCCUCACAGAUAGGGACAACAUUUGGAAACGAAUGCUAAUACCUGAUAUUAUGAUUUUAGGGCAUCUUAGGAUUAUGAAAGCUAUAUGCGCUGUGAGAGAGCUUUGCGUCCCAUUAGCUAGUUGGAGAGGUAACGGCUCACCAAGGCGAUGAUGGGUAGCCGGCCUGAGAGGGUGAUCGGCCACAAGGGGACUGAGACACGGCCCUUACUCCUACGGGAGGCAGCAGUGGGGAAUAUUGGACAAUGGACCAAGAGUCUGAUCCAGCAAUUCUGUGUGCACGAUGAAGUUUUUCGGAAUGUAAAGUGCUUUCAGUUGGGAAGAAAAAAAUGACGGUACCAACAGAAGAAGUGACGGCUAAAUACGUG